This 300-nucleotide unclassified non-coding RNA is filed under the name Hevea brasiliensis (rubber tree). The record is from RNAcentral. Lineage: Eukaryota; Viridiplantae; Streptophyta; Magnoliopsida; Malpighiales; Euphorbiaceae.
GAACAACGAUUCAUUAUAUGCACCAAGAUCAAUGAAACUCACAGAUUAAGCAUAUUGAUUACUUGCACACCUAUACAUUGAGUAGCAGCGUACAUGCACAAUGGAGCAUAUAUAUAACAUAGACUAAUUUCAAGAUUAUUACAAGUAGUUUAAUCGUGUACCCUAAGUCGCUCUCGAACGCUUGAGAUGUAAUUUGCAGCUUUUUCAUCAAUGCUUUCAUCGUAGCCAUUGGAGUCAUAACCCAUACCUGAAUAGGUGUAAGAAUGCUUGUCCUUGGGUUGAUGACGCUGUACUCCAUCA